This 447-nucleotide ribosomal RNA is filed under the name uncultured bacterium. Its description in RNAcentral is "bacterial SSU rRNA". It matches the Rfam family "Bacterial small subunit ribosomal RNA", at positions 328 to 793 of the family's 1533-position model. The record is from RNAcentral.
CGCUUUCACUCCUACGGGAGGCAGCAGUGGGGAAUCUUGGACAAUGGGGGCAACCCUGAUCCAGCCAUGCCGCGUGAGUGAUGAAGGCCUUAGGGUCGUAAAGCUCUUUCGCCUGUGAUGAUAAUGACAGUAGCAGGUAAGAAACCCCGGCUAACUCCGUGCCAGCAGCCGCGGUAAUACGGAGGGGGUUAGCGUUGUUCGGAAUUACUGGGCGUAAAGCGCGCGUAGGCGGAUUAGUCAGUUAGAGGUGAAAUCCCAGGGCUCAACCCUGGAACUGCCUUUAAUACUGCUAGUCUUGAGUUCGAGAGAGGUGAGUGGAAUUCCGAGUGUAGAGGUGAAAUUCGUAGAUAUUCGGAGGAACACCAGUGGCGAAGGCGGCUCACUGGCUCGAUACUGACGCUGAGGUGCGAAAGUGUGGGGAGCAAACAGGAUUAGAUACCCUGGUAG